Molecule: ribosomal RNA, 1322 nt
Filed under: uncultured bacterium
Lineage: Bacteria
Description: bacterial SSU rRNA
Rfam family: Bacterial small subunit ribosomal RNA
Source: RNAcentral
GAGCGAACGCUAGUGGCGGGCUUAACACAUGCAAGUCGAACGAAGUCUUCGGACUUAGUGGCGGACGGGUGAGUAACACGUAGGUUAUCUACCUUUUGGUUGUGGUAUAACUCAGGGAAACUUGAGCUAAUCCCCCUAUUGAUCUUCGGAUUGAAAGCUUCGGCGCCAAGAGAUGAGCCUGUGGCCUAUUAGCUUGUUGGUGGGGUAAUGGCCUACCAAGGCGACGAUAGGUAGCUGGUCUGAGAGGAUGAUCAGCCACACUGGGACUGAGACACGGCCCAGACUCCUGCGGGAGGCAGCAGUGGGGAAUAUUGGACAAUGGGCGAAAGCCUGAUCCAGCCACGCCACGUGAGUGAUUGAAGGCCCUAGGGUUGUAAAACUCUGUCCUAUGGGAAGAUAAUGACAGUACCAUAGAAGAAAGCACCGGCUAACUCCGUGCCAGCAGCCGCGGUAAUACGGAGGGUGCAAGCGUUGCUCGGAAUUACUGGGCGUAAAGGGAACGCAGGCGGUUUAUUAAGUCAGAUGUGAAAGCCCGGGACUCAACUCCGGAACUGCAUCUGAAACUGGUAAACUAGAGGAUGAGAGAGGAAAGUAGAAUUCCUGGUGUAGAGGUGAAAUUCGUUGAUAUCAGGAGGAAUACCCGUGGCGAAGGCGGCUUUCUGGCUCAUUUCUGACGCUGAGGUUCGAAAGUGUGGGGAGCAAACAGGAUUAGAUACCCUGGUAGUCCACACCGUAAACGAUGAAUGCUAGACGUCCGACUUGUUUAUCGGUUGGGUGUCGAAGCUAACGCAUUAAGCAUUCCGCCUGGGGAGUACGGUCGCAAGAUUAAAACUCAAAGGAAUUGACGGGGGCCCGCACAAGCGGUGGAGUAUGUGGUUUAAUUCGACGCAACGCGCAGAACCUUACCCAGUCUUAACAUCCCGAGAAGCAAGCAGAGAUGCUCGCGUGCUGCCGCAAGGUUGAACUCGGUGAUAGGUGCUGCAUGGCUGUCGUCAGCUCGUGUCGUGAGAUGUUCGGUUAAGUCCGGUAACGAGCGCAACCCCUAUCCUUAGUUGCCAAUUAUGGAACUCUAAGGAGACUGCCGGUGUCAAACCGGAGGAAGGUGGGGACGACGUCAAGUCCUCAUGGCCCUUACGACUGGGGCUACACACGUACUACAAUGGCAACUACAGUGGGACGCAAAGCUGUGAAGUGGAGCAAAUCCCCAAAAGUCGCCUCAGUUCAGAUUGUAGUCUGCAACUCGACUACAUGAAGUUGGAAUCGCUAGUAAUCGCGUAACAGCAUGACGCGGUGAAUACGUUCCCGGGCCUUGCACUCACCGC